Molecule: ribosomal RNA, 255 nt
Filed under: uncultured bacterium
Lineage: Bacteria
Description: partial 16S ribosomal RNA
Rfam family: Bacterial small subunit ribosomal RNA
Source: RNAcentral
CGGGGUGAGUAACGUGUGGGCAACCUGCCCUGCACUGGGGAAUAAUCAUUGGAAACGAUGACUAAUACCGCAUACGGUUCCUGGGAGGCAUCUUCCGGGGAAAGAAAGGAUUUAUUCGGUGCAGGAUGGGCCCGCAUCUGAUUAGCUAGUUGGUGAGAUAACAGCCCACCAAGGCGACGAUCAGUAGCCGACCUGAGAGGGUGACCGGCCACAUUGGGACUGAGACACGGCCCAAACUCCUACGGAAGGCAGCAG